Molecule: long non-coding RNA, 661 nt
Organism: Zophobas morio
Lineage: Eukaryota; Metazoa; Arthropoda; Insecta; Coleoptera; Tenebrionidae
Exons: 2
Source: RefSeq, a predicted model, not a curated record
ACAAUAAAGUGUCGAAAUACAUUAUAGCAGUUUACAGAUAAAAUAAAACUUAAAUUGAUUUAUAAUUCAACCUUCAAGCAUUUCAUGAAAAUUCUGGUGUGCCCUUCAAAUACGAUUUUGUGAGGUAUGAAAUGCUGGAAUUCACACUGAUGAAGCUGGGUGCGUCGGCUCGGAAAAUACAAUCAGGUCGAUUUUUAUUGCCUCGAGAGGAGCGGUUCCAACUGUUGGCAUCCCGACAAAAAAGACGCAGUUUUUUAAUAUGGAGGCUUCCUGGGAAAAGGCUGGAAUGUUGACUUUAUAAUUUACCAUGUACGAACACAAACAAGCUCAAAUCAAACAAAACAAGAGAGGUAUAAAUUUAAUUUAGUAAAGUGCUGUAAUGAAAGAGUUGCAUAGCCAACAAUCACAUGCAGGUAAAAUUAGAUUGAUCAGUCUGAUUAAUAAUAAUUGACACUAAGAGAUAUAUCGAGCAUAUAUAUAGUACAAAUAAAUCGUUAAACUUAUUUACACAGGAUUUCCUUCUCAAGCACAAGGGCCGCAUAACAUCCAGCAACAAUUUGAUGACGCCCGCUCAUUAUGUUGCAUAAUUAACAUUACCGAUUUUGUAUGAAACAAUAUACUUCUGUACUUGUGGUUUACGAAUAUAUCUUGAUUUUGUUUA